RNAcentral lists this ribosomal RNA (122 nucleotides) under Ricinus communis (castor bean). The record is from RNAcentral. Lineage: Eukaryota; Viridiplantae; Streptophyta; Magnoliopsida; Malpighiales; Euphorbiaceae.
GGGUGCGAUCAUACCAGCACUAAUGCACCGGAUCCCAACAGAACUCCGAAGUUAAACGUGCUUGGGCGAGAGUAGUACUAAGAUGGGUGACCUCUUGGGAAGUCCUCGUGUUGCACCCCAGG